AAGUUAGAUAGGGCACGGUAACGAUAUCAGCCGGGUGCCACGUUGACAGGUCCUAAAAGUUCAGGGGAUGGUUAUCUUCCUGUCAUAUUUUAUGUAGAACAUUGGGAGAAAUAUGACUACUGAAAUAGGAGUUCGUUUGGAGGGCACAUCUUUUUCCUAGCCGUGAGUACAUAGGUGUUUAACAAAACCAGUUUCAACCCGAAGGCAGGCAGAGCGUUGCGGGAUUCAGAUAUACGGAGGUCCAUGCGGAUAUCGUGCUACAACAUGGAAGGGCGUGGUGUAGCUCCGUAGAGAAUAACCCGAGACUUGGGAGGCAUCGUGGAUUGUUUUCCACUCUGGGCGUGCUUAUCGCAAGUUGACGGGAAACCGGAACGGUGUCUUCAGAGUGCAUAUUAGUUACAUUAUAAAGUUAAAGUAACUCGAAAUUUAGAAACAAAACCAAAGAAUAUUAUAUAACAGAAAAGGAGAAUUGAGUAUUUGGAACUUUUUCUAAAUUAUACUACUUUUGAAUAUUGUUUUUACUUGAAAAGUUAAUACCUGUACAUUCGCUUUUACAUCUGAUACGUACUAUCGGACUUUCCAAAAGAACUGUUUACAACGUAUCAGAUAUCUAUAUUGCCAAUUGCUUAUUCAUGUAAAUUUGUGUUGAGAGUGAAAGGAAUGAGUGUGCAUAUUUUUUUGUAUUUAUUUAUAUAAACAAUAAAUUUGUACUUGUUUAUUCUACAA
Long non-coding RNA from Ostrea edulis (European flat oyster), 726 nucleotides. RefSeq lists it as uncharacterized. The record is from RefSeq and is a predicted model, not a curated record. Lineage: Eukaryota; Metazoa; Mollusca; Bivalvia; Ostreida; Ostreidae. The transcript has 2 exons.